ACGGCAACGGCCCGUAGGGUGAGGAGCGAAGCGACGAAUAAUCCUUCCCCCACCACCA
RNAcentral lists this small RNA (58 nucleotides) under Salmonella enterica. Its description in RNAcentral is "partial RtT sRNA". It matches the Rfam family "RtT RNA", at positions 73 to 130 of the family's 130-position model. Rfam says of the family: This family represents a bacterial cis-regulatory element known as RtT RNA. The exact function of RtT is unknown although it is thought that it may be involved in changing the cellular response in relation to amino acid starvation. RNAcentral also lists the same sequence under 1 other name. Lineage: Bacteria; Pseudomonadati; Pseudomonadota; Gammaproteobacteria; Enterobacterales; Enterobacteriaceae. The record is from RNAcentral.